This 428-nucleotide ribosomal RNA is filed under the name uncultured bacterium. Its description in RNAcentral is "bacterial SSU rRNA". It matches the Rfam family "Bacterial small subunit ribosomal RNA", at positions 355 to 796 of the family's 1533-position model. The record is from RNAcentral.
CCGAGAAUAUUCGACAAUGGACGAAAGUCUGAUCGAGCGACACCGCGUGCUGGAUGAAGUGCUUCGGCACGUAAACAGCUUUUAUCGGGGACGAAGUUUAUUGACGGUACCCGAUGAAUAAGGGGCUACUAACUCUGUGCCAGCAGUAGCGGUAAUACAGAGGCCCCAAGCGUUAUCCGGAAUCACUGGGCGUAAAGGGUGUCCAGGCGGUCGUAUUAGUCGUUUGUAAAAUCCGCGCGCUUAACGUGCGGUCCGCAGACGAAACGGUACGACUCGAGGGCGCGAGAGGUGCAUGGAACUCAUGGUGGAGGGGUGAAAUCCGUUGAUAUCAUGGGGAACACCAAAGGCGAAGGCAGUGCACUAGCGCGUUCCUGACGCUCACACACGAAAGCCAGGGGAUCGAACGGGAUUAGAUACCCCCGUAGUCC